AACGAACGCUGGCGGCAGGCCUAACACAUGCAAGUCGAGCGCGCCUUCGGGUGAGCGGCGGACGGGUUAGUAACGCGUGGGAACGUGCCCUUCUCUACGGAAUAGCCUCUGGAAACGGAGAGUAAUACCGUAUACGCCCUUUGGGGGAAAGAUUUAUCGGAGAAGGAUCGGCCCGCGUUAGAUUAGGUAGUUGGUGGGGUAACGGCCUACCAAGCCUACGAUCUAUAGCUGGUUUUAGAGGAUGAUCAGCAACACUGGGACUGAGACACGGCCCAGACUCCUACGGGAGGCAGCAGUGGGGAAUCUUAGACAAUGGGGGCAACCCUGAUCUAGCCAUGCCGCGUGAGUGAUGAAGGCCUUAGGGUCGUAAAGCUCUUUCGCCUGUGAUGAUAAUGACAGUAGCAGGUAAAGAAACCCCGGCUAACUCCGUG
RNAcentral lists this ribosomal RNA (431 nucleotides) under uncultured bacterium. Its description in RNAcentral is "bacterial SSU rRNA". It matches the Rfam family "Bacterial small subunit ribosomal RNA", at positions 29 to 507 of the family's 1533-position model. The record is from RNAcentral.